This 78-nucleotide transfer RNA is filed under the name Pangasianodon hypophthalmus (striped catfish). RNAcentral describes it as "tRNA-Phe". The record is from RNAcentral. Lineage: Eukaryota; Metazoa; Chordata; Actinopteri; Siluriformes; Pangasiidae.
ACGUGUGUUAGCGCAGUGGGUUAGCGCAGCGUCAGUGCUGAAGCCCGAGGGUUGUGGGUUCGAGCCCCAGCAGGUGUA